Molecule: transfer RNA, 72 nt
Filed under: Fukomys damarensis (Damara mole-rat)
Lineage: Eukaryota; Metazoa; Chordata; Mammalia; Rodentia; Bathyergidae
Rfam family: tRNA
About the family: Transfer RNA (tRNA) molecules are approximately 80 nucleotides in length.
Source: Rfam by way of RNAcentral
UGGGAUAUAGCUCAGUGGUAGAGUACUUGCCUAGCAUGCACAAGACCCUGGGUUCAAAUCACAGUAUUAUAA